AGUGAACGCUGGCGGCAGGCUUAACACAUGCAAGUCGAGCGAGUGGCGGACGGGUGAGUAAUGCAUGGGAAACUGCCCGGUGGAGGGGGAUAACUACUGGAAACGUACGCUAAUACCGCAUACCAUCGGAUGUGCCCAUGUGGGAUUAGCUAGUGGGGGGGGUAAAGGCUCACCAAGGCGACGAUCCGUAGCUGGUCUGAGAGGAUGAUCAGCCACACUGGAACUGAGACACGGUCCAGACUCCUACGGGAGGCAGCAGUGGGGAAUAUUGCACAAUGGGCGCAAGCCUGAUGCAGCCAUGCCGCGUGUGUGAAGAAGGCCUUCGGGUUGUAAAGCACUUUCGUCGAGGAGGCGGUACUCGCAGAAUAAGCACCGGCUAACUCCGUGCCAGCAGCCGCGGUAAUAC
This 406-nucleotide ribosomal RNA is filed under the name uncultured bacterium. RNAcentral's name for it is "partial 16S ribosomal RNA". It matches the Rfam family "Bacterial small subunit ribosomal RNA", at positions 29 to 526 of the family's 1533-position model. The record is from RNAcentral.